Molecule: long non-coding RNA, 668 nt
Filed under: Helianthus annuus (common sunflower)
Lineage: Eukaryota; Viridiplantae; Streptophyta; Magnoliopsida; Asterales; Asteraceae
Source: RNAcentral
AUGUAAAGCAAAAAGGAGAAAGAGAGGUACGACACGAUUUCGCCGGUGAGUGACCGAUGAUGCCUAACCUAUGCUGGUGAAAGCAUACAGCAGAGUGUUUCAUCCGCCUAUUAGUUCGUCACGAAGAUGAUGCAUGCCGCAUGUGGAGUAAUGAUUUAGGGUUCCAACUGCGGAGUUGCAGCGGCAAGCGUCAGCUUUUGACGGAGGCGGCACCUUCUGCCAUCCUAUGACGAUGACUAUCAAGGUAUUGCAUAAGCUUAGUUGGAAUACAAUGCCCUGAUCUACAAAUAACAGAUACUUGCAAUGACACGACAUGGUCCCAACACCAGUACAAGCAAUCAAGGGAAGAAGAGUGAAAUUACAAAGCCAAACACUAAACGAUGCACGCUCAGGAGCACAAUAAUGCACUGUAAAAUAGCGUCACUGAAGUAGACCCAGAGGCAGGCUCAACGAUAGCAAUUGUCACAACCUUAGCAGCCCCAGCAACACCAAUGGGAGCAAAACAGAUUGUCGCAGCAGCUAAGAAUAUCAUAUUUCCAAAGCCAGGUAGACACAUUUUUUUACACGCUUUAACACGUCGCUAGACAAAAGUUUCUCAAAUGAUUUGCUGAAUAUUUGGACCACGCUUUCAACAUUUAGAUAGUUUUAGAUUAGCUAAUACUUCUGAA